This 822-nucleotide ribosomal RNA is filed under the name Staphylococcus aureus M39841. RNAcentral describes it as "bacterial SSU rRNA". It matches the Rfam family "Bacterial small subunit ribosomal RNA", at positions 8 to 812 of the family's 1533-position model. Lineage: Bacteria; Bacillati; Bacillota; Bacilli; Caryophanales; Staphylococcaceae. The record is from RNAcentral.
AGAGUUUGAUCCUGGCUCAGGAUGAACGCUGGCGGCGUGCCUAAUACAUGCAAGUCGAGCGAACGGACGAGAAGCUUGCUUCUCUGAUGUUAGCGGCGGACGGGUGAGUAACACGUGGAUAACCUACCUAUAAGACUGGGAUAACUUCGGGAAACCGGAGCUAAUACCGGAUAAUAUUUUGAACCGCAUGGUUCAAAAGUGAAAGACGGUCUUGCUGUCACUUAUAGAUGGAUCCGCGCUGCAUUAGCUAGUUGGUAAGGUAACGGCUUACCAAGGCAACGAUGCAUAGCCGACCUGAGAGGGUGAUCGGCCACACUGGAACUGAGACACGGUCCAGACUCCUACGGGAGGCAGCAGUAGGGAAUCUUCCGCAAUGGGCGAAAGCCUGACGGAGCAACGCCGCGUGAGUGAUGAAGGUCUUCGGAUCGUAAAACUCUGUUAUUAGGGAAGAACAUAUGUGUAAGUAACUGUGCACAUCUUGACGGUACCUAAUCAGAAAGCCACGGCUAACUACGUGCCAGCAGCCGCGGUAAUACGUAGGUGGCAAGCGUUAUCCGGAAUUAUUGGGCGUAAAGCGCGCGUAGGCGGUUUUUUAAGUCUGAUGUGAAAGCCCACGGCUCAACCGUGGAGGGUCAUUGGAAACUGGAAAACUUGAGUGCAGAAGAGGAAAGUGGAAUUCCAUGUGUAGCGGUGAAAUGCGCAGAGAUAUGGAGGAACACCAGUGGCGAAGGCGACUUUCUGGUCUGUAACUGACGCUGAUGUGCGAAAGCGUGGGGAUCAAACAGGAUUAGAUACCCUGGUAGUCCACGCCGUAAACGAUGA